CGUGUUUUUGUUACAGUUUUGAGCCAAGUUGUAACACAGUGGAUUUAAAUUUCCCUUAAUUUUUUAAAAAUAUAAAUAGGACUGUAGUGCUGACACUGAUGAGUCUAACAAGGCAUCGUCCAGCUGCUAUCCACAAACCAGAUACCUUAGAAGAUGUGUUUGACGCUAUCUUUGUGGGCACUUGAAGGGAAUGGUGUAUCAAUCAGGUGAAGAUACGAGACCUAAAUCCUCUCAAGGAGCGUAUCACCAACGCGACUACGAGCUUCAACUGUGCUGAUGCAAGUUCAUCAACAGUGGAAAACACGUAUUAAUAUGUGUUUUCAAAACAAUGGUAAUCAUAUAGAGCACAUUAUAUAAAUAAAAACGGUUGUCCAACAUAAAA
Long non-coding RNA from Amphiprion ocellaris (clown anemonefish), 382 nucleotides. RefSeq lists it as uncharacterized. Lineage: Eukaryota; Metazoa; Chordata; Actinopteri; Pomacentridae. The transcript is spliced from 2 exons. The record is from RefSeq and is a predicted model, not a curated record.